UACGGAGGAUCCGAGCGUUAUCCGGAUUUAUUGGGUUUAAAGGGUGCGUAGGCGGGACUGUAAGUCAGGGGUGAAAUACUGCAGCUUAACUGUAGCAUUGCCUUUGAAACUGCCGUUCUUGAGUACAGUUGAGGUAGGCGGAAUGUGGUGUGUAGCGGUGAAAUGCAUAGAUAUACCACAGAACGCCGAUUGCGAAGGCAGCUUACUAAGCUGUUACUGACGCUGAGGCACGAAAGCGUGGGGAUCAAACAGGAUUAGAUA
RNAcentral lists this ribosomal RNA (261 nucleotides) under uncultured prokaryote. RNAcentral describes it as "partial 16S ribosomal RNA". It matches the Rfam family "Bacterial small subunit ribosomal RNA", at positions 524 to 784 of the family's 1533-position model. The record is from RNAcentral.